UACGUAGGGACCGAGCGUUGUCCGGAAUCAUUGGGCGUAAAGAGCGUGUAGGCGGUUCGGUAAGUCUGUCGUGAAAUCCUGAGGCUCAACCUCGGGCGUGCGAUGGAUACUGCCGGGCUAGAGGGUGGUAGAGGCGAGUGGAAUUCCCGGUGUAGCGGUGAAAUGCGCAGAUAUCGGGAAGAACAUCGGUGGCGAAAGCGCUCUGCUGGACUGCAACUGACACUCAGGGACGAAAGCUAGGGGAGCGAAUGGG
Molecule: ribosomal RNA, 253 nt
Filed under: uncultured bacterium
Lineage: Bacteria
Description: partial 16S ribosomal RNA
Rfam family: Bacterial small subunit ribosomal RNA
Source: RNAcentral